Molecule: long non-coding RNA, 1177 nt
Filed under: Nicotiana tabacum (common tobacco)
Lineage: Eukaryota; Viridiplantae; Streptophyta; Magnoliopsida; Solanales; Solanaceae
Description: long non-coding RNA (NTAB_LNC005008)
Source: RNAcentral
UGAAAUUUGGCCUUGAUACGCGGGUAGUUCACACGGUGACACAAUGCGGCUUCGAAUAAGUUUCACUCGGGGAUGAAGGAACAGCAGAAGUUUGACCUCACGAAAAAUAUCUUCGACCCGAUAGCUCCUUUUCGGGGAGAUGGGAGCAAUUCUCCAAUGAAGCUCUCUAAAGACGGUUCCGGGGAUUCGUUGAUGAAGCUACAAUUUAGAGUCUUGCUUGGUCUUUAAUCGCCUCUGAAAUAUUCGAGAUUCACUCCUAUCCAAUAUGUCUGACACUUAUUUCACAACCGGCGAGUAUUUUGGCUACUAAUAACCACCGAAAGCAACAUGUGAAAGUGGAGCUAGGGAUGUGAAAGUUAGGCUCGGCCGCUCGGGCUAUAAAUACCUCUGGUACUCUCACUUGUAGAUUCAUUCAAUGUUAUGCUUUACUUAUUCAUCACUUGAAGCUACUCUUGUCAGGUUGGGCAAUCGAUCAUUACUUUCCAACAUUAUGGCUAAUAAUAAAUCUCAAUAAGAUUUUUCUUUUUUUUUGCUUACCUACUUUAAUCACGUUGUUAUCAGGGGCGGCAGUGGCGGACCCAAGAUUUUAUGCAAGCGGGUUCAGUCGGAGAACUCCAUAACUAACAUAAGCUGUAUAAACGGGUUCAAAAAUAAUUUCUAUACAAAAUUUACCUUGCUUUAGCCAUAAUUUAUACAUAUACACAGUAUUAUUUUUUGACGAAGCGGGUUCAGUUGAACCCCCUUCUCACCACUUGGGUCCGCCUCUGAGAGGCGGAUGUAUAGGUAAGAUGACGGGACACGUGAACCCAUGAUCUGUCGGCAAAAUUAAAUAUUUUGUGUACAUGUUAUUUAAAAUUAGCAUAAUAUUAACUGUUGGCACCCAUGCUCCAAGAAGGUUGAAUGGGGCACUUGGUUGAAGGUUGUGUUAUUUAUCUAGAGGAAUAGGAAUCAAUUCCACUUCAUACAUUUUUUCUUAUUGUUUUUAGUUGUGCACCUAUGUACUAAAAAUCUUAGAUCCGUCUUUGGUUGUUAUCAUCGUUCAUUGCUUAUUUAGCCUAGCCAAGUAAUUUAUUAGAUCAAGCUCUUAUUUGAACCGAUUGUUUGUGACCUCAUCAAAUAAUAAUUCAAUUGUCCUUCUUCCUCCUUUAUUUUUAUUGUUGAUUUAUUUUACUUUGAG